Molecule: ribosomal RNA, 299 nt
Filed under: uncultured bacterium
Lineage: Bacteria
Description: partial 16S ribosomal RNA
Rfam family: Bacterial small subunit ribosomal RNA
Source: RNAcentral
AAAAAAAAACACGUGAGUAACCUGCCCUUGACUUUGGGAUAACUUCAGGAAACUGGGGCUAAUACCGGAUAGGAGCUCCUGCUGCAUGGUGGGGGUUGGAAAGUUUCGUCCGUUGGGGAUGGACUCGCGGCUUAUCAGCUUGUUGGUUGGGUAGUGGCUUACAAAGGCUUUGACGGGUAGCCGGCCUGAGAGGGUGACCGGCAAGAUUGGUACUGAGAUACGGCUCAGACUCGUACGGGAGGCAGCAGUGGGGAAUGUUGCACAAUGGGCGCAAGCCUGAUGAUGCAACGCUUUUUUUU